This 423-nucleotide ribosomal RNA is filed under the name uncultured bacterium. Its description in RNAcentral is "bacterial SSU rRNA". It matches the Rfam family "Bacterial small subunit ribosomal RNA", at positions 493 to 917 of the family's 1533-position model. The record is from RNAcentral.
ACGCUCGACAGUGUCAGCCGCCGCGGUAAUACAGAGGGUGCGAGCGUUAAUCGGAUUUACUGGGCGUAAAGCGUGCGUAGGUGGCCAAUUAAGUCAAAUGUGAAAUCCCCGAGCUUAACUUGGGAAUUGCAUUCGAUACUGGUUGGCUAGAGUAUGGGAGAGGAUGGUAGAAUUCCAGGUGUAGCGGUGAAAUGCGUAGAGAUCUGGAGGAAUACCGAUGGCGAAGGCAGCCAUCUGGCCUAAUACUGACACUGAGGUACGAAAGCAUGGGGAGCAAACAGGAUUAGAUACCCUGGUAGUCCAUGCCGUAAACGAUGUCUACUAGCCGUUGGGGUCUUUGAGACUUUAGUGGCGCAGCUAACGCGAUAAGUAGACCGCCUGGGGAGUACGGUCGCAAGACUAAAACUCAAAUGAAUUGACGGG